Molecule: ribosomal RNA, 449 nt
Filed under: uncultured bacterium
Lineage: Bacteria
Description: SSU rRNA
Rfam family: Bacterial small subunit ribosomal RNA
Source: RNAcentral
AGAGCGAACGCUGGCGGCAGGCUUAACACAUGCAAGUCGAGCGGGCGUAGCAAUACGUCAGCGGCAGACGGGUGAGUAACGCGUGGGAACGUACCUUUUGGUUCGGAACAACACAGGGAAACUUGUGCUAAUACCGGAUAAGCCCUUACGGGGAAAGAUUUAUCGCCGAAAGAUCGGCCCGCGUCUGAUUAGCUAGUUGGUGAGGUAACGGCUCACCAAGGCGACGAUCAGUAGCUGGUCUGAGAGGAUGAUCAGCCACAUUGGGACUGAGACACGGCCCAAACUCCUACGGGAGGCAGCAGUGGGGAAUAUUGGACAAUGGGCGCAAGCCUGAUCCAGCCAUGCCGCGUGAGUGAUGAAGGCCCUAGGGUUGUAAAGCUCUUUUGUGCGGGAAGAUAAGUGACGGUACCGCAAGAAUAAGCCCCGGCUAACUUCGUGCCAGCAGCCGC